GGGACCGCAUAUCUUCAAAGCAAAAGUGCUGUGAAUUCCAAAGAAACAUCCUCAGUAGCUAAAGGGGAAAGAGGAGCAAGAAAUACCAAGACUUUAUAUAACAUGCAAAGUGAUCUGAUGGAAGAUGGAGUGGGCUGGAAAUCAGGACAUGUUACCUCCUACUCUGUCUAGCAAAGGUGGAAAUGUAAGGAGUGGUACUGCCGGAUCCUAUGGUAACUCUAUAUUUGAGCUUUUAAGGAGCUGCCAAAUAGUUUCCCAAAAUGGCUGCACUUCUCUCAGCAGUAUAUGAGAGUUCUAAUUUUGCCACAUUGUGACCAACAUUUGUUACUAUCUGUGUUUUUGAUUAUCGCCAUCCUAGCAGAUUUGAAGUAUCUUAUUGUGGCUUUGAUCUUCAUUUCCCUGAUGGCUAA
Molecule: long non-coding RNA, 410 nt
Organism: Hyaena hyaena (striped hyena)
Lineage: Eukaryota; Metazoa; Chordata; Mammalia; Carnivora; Hyaenidae
Exons: 3
Source: RefSeq, a predicted model, not a curated record